UGGUGGAGUGAUUUGUCUGGUUAAUUCCGUUAACGAACGAGACCUCAGCCUACUAUUGUAGUUUAUGUUCUUAUCGCUUUUCCUUGCCACUUGUGGGCGGGAUCCGUGAUAGGGCAAACUUCUUAGAGGGACUGUCAGUUUUCAGCUGACGGAAGUUUGAGGCAAUAACA
This 170-nucleotide ribosomal RNA is filed under the name uncultured eukaryote. RNAcentral describes it as "partial 18S ribosomal RNA". It matches the Rfam family "Eukaryotic small subunit ribosomal RNA", at positions 1299 to 1458 of the family's 1831-position model. The record is from RNAcentral.